This is a long non-coding RNA of Anolis carolinensis (green anole), 2384 nucleotides long. RefSeq lists it as uncharacterized. Lineage: Eukaryota; Metazoa; Chordata; Lepidosauria; Squamata; Anolidae. The transcript has 2 exons. The record is from RefSeq and is a predicted model, not a curated record.
AGGAUUCCAAUGAUCUGUUGUAACUAGCAAAGUCUGAUGUAGACCUUUGAUUUUUUAAAAUCUGUUUUUUGCAGCAGUCACCUUUUAAAAAAAAAAGAUAACACCAGUCAGUUGUGUGGUAUAUUUGUGCACUUGUGAGAAUAGACAAAAGCCUGUUUCUGGUGUGUUUUCUAUUAUCAGCUGGCUCUCUUUGUUUCCGGACCUAAUAGAAGAUGCUAGUUCUUACCAGGAAACUUGAAAUACUGUUUUGUCCUAUGCAAAGUUGUCUUUGGAAGAUCUGAGAUAGGCUCUACAAUAAAAUAAGAUACUGGGGUAUAGAAGCCCCUUCAUGCAAUAUUGCCUGAGUAUUUUGAAGGGUGUGAGAAAAUGAGACAACUAAAGUUCCAAGCCUCACCACGUUAAAAUUGACAAAUUACAGGCAGUCCCUGAGUUAUGAACAAGAUAGGUUCUGUAGGUUUGUCCUUAAGUUGAAUGUGUAUGUAAGUGUAAUUCUUGCCAAAUAUUAUAUUUUAGCUUUGGAUAGCAUAGAGAAGGGUUAACACCCCUGUGGUGCUUGUCUUGCUGCCUUUGCCCCUGUUCAGAAGAUUUCACCUCACCUUCUGUCCCUGUGAUCACUGGAUUUUGGGGAAAAAAUAGCUUGUUGUGGAAACAAGGAUUGGUGAAAAAGCUUCAGUGAAGUCUCCUUUUCCCCGUGAUUUUUCCAGGAGUGAAUUUCCCCUUCCUAGGGGUAGAUUCCUCACUUCCUGUUAUCUUAUCCCCGUUCUUAAAUAUGAGUCAUUAGUAAGUUGGAUGUUUGUAACUUGCAGACUGCCUGUAUAUGUUCUUAAGUAACUCAAUAUGGAAAUACUGAUCAAUGUACCUUGUCCCUAACCCAGUUGUCAUCUAAGACAGAGCUUUUCCAAACUGUGUUGCAAUACGUUCAGGUAUCAGCUGCAAUGUGUAGGUGUGCCACAAGAAACCUCGGGGUCUAUGUGCCAUAAGCAAUAAAUCAUAUAUUUUUAAAAAUAUAAAUGAAAGGUUUUUUGCUAUUACAAUUUAUGCAUAUGUCUGUAUCUCUUAUAUGGAGUUGGUUAAACUUCUGGUUUUGCUAGUAAAACUGAAUUACUGUGUUACAAACUAAUGUGUGUAUAAAAAUGGAGUGGCACCAAUGUAAUGUGUUUGGAAAUCUCUGAUCUAAGGGCUUAAGAGUGAUCAUUGAAACACCAGUAUAUAUUAAAAGUCACUUGCAAGCCAAUUAAUGUAUGUUCUAAAUCAGUGGUUCUCAAAAUGUGGGUCCCCAGAUGUUUUGGCCUACAACUCCCAGAAAUCCCAGCCAGUUUACCAGCUGUUAGGAUUACUGGGAGUUGAAGGCCAAAACAUCUGGGGACCAACAUGUUGAAAAACACUGACCUAGAUAAACUAGAACUAGAAUCCAGGUCACAGGUAAAUGAAUUCUGGGGAAAAUACAUACAUUAUUUUGGUUUAAGUGGUGAAAAACACCUAGAUGAAAUCUUGCUGAAUAGAAGAUACAACUCCAACUGCAUAGGUUCCGUCACUCAUUAGCCAUGUAGGUAGGAGUAACCCUAAGACACAUACAAAUAACUGAAUUGUGCAACUGCACAUGGCUCUUCAUACUCAUUGCUGUGGAAGUGUGCUGUCCUGCUUCUUAGUUUCCCAUAGACAUCUUUCCAGCAGUGAGAAGGGAUUGCUGGCUUAAAGAAAUCUAGCUACUGCAUUUACAUCAGUUGCAGUUUCCAGAUACUCUUCAAGGGCUGCACCACACAGCAUCAUAUAGUAAUCAAACUAGGAAAAGCUGCAUACUGGCAGAUUUUCACCCCAAUUCUUCAUUUUAAAUGAUACCUUUCCUUCUUCCACAUAUGUGAGUUGCCAUUGAACCUCCCUUCUACUACCUUUUUGAAAUACCACCAUUAUUAACAACAAAGCUUUUGAAAAACCACACUGCAAUGUCGGGGAGAAGGAUGGAUCUGAAGAUUCAUGUUCGAGUACAUGCCCACUUUAUGAUGACCCGUUUCCCUGCCAUUUCCUUACCUGAACCUAUGUGACGAGUGGUCACUAUUCAGCUUAAUGAUGAACUUAAAUCAGUAAAGGUGUUUUCUAAGAUGUAUGCUCAAGAAGCCUACUACACCUUAUUUUAACUGAGUAUUCCUUAUCGGAAAUGCUUGGAACCAGAAGUGUUUUCAAUUUGGAUUUUUUUCUUUCGGAUUUUGGAACACCUGUACCUGUAUUUGCAUACACAGAAUGAGAUUAUCUUGGAGAUGUGUUUCACUUAGCCUGCAGAUUAUUUUAUACAGUUUUAAAUAAUAUUAUGAAUGAACCAUUAUGUACCCCUUAUAAAGAAUCCCUUAAUUUUUACUCAAUAAAAGUGUCUCCCUGAGCUAGAAGAA